RNAcentral lists this ribosomal RNA (717 nucleotides) under Glomeromycotina sp. RNAcentral describes it as "eukaryotic LSU rRNA". It matches the Rfam family "Eukaryotic large subunit ribosomal RNA", at positions 55 to 656 of the family's 3401-position model. The record is from RNAcentral. Lineage: Eukaryota; Fungi; Glomeromycota.
GGAAAAGAAACUUAACAAGGAUUCCCCUAGUAACGGCGAGUGAAGCGGGAAGAGCACAAAUUUUAAAUCUAUCUGGUUCUACCAGGUCGAGUUGUAAUUUGAAGAAACGUUUUUAAUGUUCCGGGUUGGUUUAAAUCCUUUGGGAUAAGGUAUCAUGGAGGGUGAGAAUCCCGUGUAUAUCAACCGCUGGGAUGUUAUUAAUACGUUCUCUAAGAGUCGAGUUGUUUGGGAAUGCAGCUCUAAAUGGGUGGUAAAUUUCACCUAAUGCUAAAUAUAAGCGAGAGACCGAUAGCGAACAAGUACCGUGAGGGAAAGAUGAAAAGAACUUUGAAAAGAGAGUUAAAUAGUACGUGAAAUUGUUGAAAGGGAAACGAUUGAAGUCAGUCAUGCCGGUGAGAAUCAACUUUGAGGAAGGGAGAUUUUUUUGAACCUAACCUUGAAGUGCACUUCUUCGCUUGGCAGGUUAGCGUCGAUUUUGAACGUCAUAAAAUGAUUGGGGGAAGGUAGCUCUUUCGGGAGUGUUAUAGCCCUUAAUUAAUGUGAUAUUUGGGAUCGAGGAUUGCAACGGAUACCUUUUUUAGGCUAGCCGCCUGGCCUCUGAUUCGAUGUUGGGUUAUAGACAGCAUGCUGACUAUGAUCUGAUUAUUGGUCAAAAGGUUAGAGCGAGCAUAAAUUCGUUAAGGACGCUGACGUAAUGGCUUUAAACGACCCGUCUUG